This is a non-coding RNA of Carica papaya (papaya), 1633 nucleotides long. The record is from RefSeq and is a predicted model, not a curated record. Lineage: Eukaryota; Viridiplantae; Streptophyta; Magnoliopsida; Brassicales; Caricaceae.
GCAAGAGCAAGAGCAAGAAAAGGGUAUUCUUUCUGGAUGUCAAUCCACUUUGUUACACAGGAAGUACACCCAGUUUGGGCUCUUUUGGUCAAUGGGUGUCUCUUUUAUUCUCGCAAGUCAGCCUUCACGAACCUGUUAUUGGUUUGUUAACACCGUACGGUGAGACUGUAAUUCUUCAUCUUUCAUGGCUUCCAAAAUCUCAGGUUAUUCUCAAAGUGUGUUUAUUGUGCUAUCCUAGUUGAUCAUGACUGUGUUUGGCCAACCGGAUAUUUCUCUGGAUGAUUCCAUUUACAGUAUACCGGUCUUUAGAUAGAAGUGUCUACUGCUACAAGAGGAUAAGCAUAAUUCAGAUAUAUAGUAUCAGAUGAAGAUAUGCUUAUAAGCUACAUGAAUUUAAGCAAAGAAAUAAAUAAACCUUUAUUUCUAUCAUGUCCUUGCAAGAUGGAGUCUUUAGUCAGAGCUGAGUAGUUGAGUACGAAGUCAGUGGAGAUGUGUUUAAUAGGGUACUGUAGAACCAGAUUUGCAAAAAUGUAAUUCACUCUAAGCUUGUCAUGGUAGAUUAUGGCAAGCUGAGAGAGUUUGCACAAAUUUUGAACCCAUAGCAGACUAAGCACAGAUGAGGCAACAGAUCUGUACUCAGCUUUGCCAUUGACAAUGACCUUGUUGGGGCUAUCAUAGUCCUAAUGACUGGGCAGGUUCUUCAGACUAGUGGUAUUGGUGUUGACACCAGAAUCCAUCAACCAAGACUUCUUUGAUGCAAGCUCCGAGUUUGCAUAUUAGCUGCAGGGUCAGAAAUUGGAAUUGAAGGUACUUUUUACUUUUAUAGCAUGGUCUAGAAGUGUGCCCACAUUUCUCACAAAUAUGGCAGAUUGAUCUAGAGGUAGCACCUUGAGUUAUCUGGGAAUGAUCGGAGUGAGACUGUUGGCGGCCAAACUUCUUAGCUCCAUGAACAGAAGGAUGCGGCUUCCUGUUCAGAAGCAGAGCUGCGAAGCUGCAACUUGAAAGCUAUGAAUUCAUUACUUGUGAUAGCAUGGGUGAUCAGUCUGUCCUAGUGCACCCAGAGAGCAUGGGCAGGAUUUGGUAUGGUUUUGUCUUCCUGUUGCAGGUUUAAGAGGAAUGGAAGUGGAGUCAUCGACAACCCCGAGAGGUCAUAGCCAGUGAGAAGUGCAUCAAACUUGACUCAUGAAGAUGAGAAAUUCUGAGAGGUUAGUUUGACAGGGAGUUGAGCUGUGGCAUUAGUAGAGGAGAUAGAUGUUUGAUUUGGAGAUUUCUUCCAACAUGAUCAAAGGAAGGAAACAUACUGGAACUGGACAUGACAGCAGAAGAAGAGAGAAGAUAUGGACCGCAUUACUUAGUUGGAGCUUAUUGCUUUGAUAUCAUAACACAUUUGAGCAAGACAAUAUUUUAUGAAUGAAUUUAUUCAAGUUCAGGGGCUCUCUUUGUGUGUAAAGCAAAAAGUGACAGCACCCUUGGUUACUGUUAGUAAAAGCAACCAGCCCUAGCAGAUUGUCCUUUCUCUGCUAGUGGACAACUAUGAUCUUGUUGCUUGCUCUCUGGUGCUCGUGGUCACACGAAACUCUUUCAUUGCGUUAGUUCAAAUCUAUUUUAUUCCCAUUUAAUUUUUCGAUCUUAA